AUUGAAAGACAAUGAUGUGAGAAUUCCAAGCACAUAUCUGAAAUGAAUGUGUUGAAACAUAUUGUCACUGAGUCUUUUCUGA
Molecule: non-coding RNA, 82 nt
Organism: Xenopus laevis (African clawed frog)
Lineage: Eukaryota; Metazoa; Chordata; Amphibia; Anura; Pipidae
Source: Rfam